Molecule: ribosomal RNA, 1492 nt
Filed under: metagenome
Description: bacterial SSU rRNA
Rfam family: Bacterial small subunit ribosomal RNA
Source: RNAcentral
AGAGUUUGAUCCUGGCUCAGAUUGAACGCUGGCGGAAUGCUUUACACAUGCAAGUCGAACGGCAGCACGGGAGCUUGCUCCUGGUGGCGAGUGGCGAACGGGUGAGUAAUGCGUCGGAACGUACCGAGUAAUGUGGGAUAACGCAGCGAAAGUUGUGCUAAUACCGCAUACGCCCUGAGGGGGAAAGUGGGGGAUCGUAAGACCUCACGUUAUUCGAGCGGCCGACGUCUGAUUAGCUAGUUGGUGAGGUAAUGGCUCACCAAGGCGACGAUCAGUAGCGGGUCUGAGAGGAUGAUCCGCCACACUGGGACUGAGACACGGCCCAGACUCCUACGGGAGGCAGCAGUGGGAAUUUUGGACAAUGGGGGCAACCCUGAUCCAGCCAUUCCGCGUGAGUGAAGAAGGCCUUCGGGUUGUAAAGCUCUUUCAGCUGGAACGAAACGGUAGAGGCUAAUACCCUCUGCUAAUGACGGUACCGGCAGAAGAAGCACCGGCUAACUACGUGCCAGCAGCCGCGGUAAUACGUAGGGUGCGAGCGUUAAUCGGAAUUACUGGGCGUAAAGCGUGCGCAGGCGGAUUGUUAAGCAAGACGUGAAGUCCCCGGGCUUAACCUGGGAAUGGCGUUUUGAACUGGCAGUCUAGAGUGUGUCAGAGGGGGGUGGAAUUCCACGUGUAGCAGUGAAAUGCGUAGAGAUGUGGAGGAACACCAAUGGCGAAGGCAGCCCCCUGGGAUAACACUGACGCUCAUGUACGAAAGCGUGGGUAGCAAACAGGAUUAGAUACCCUGGUAGUCCACGCCCUAAACGAUGUCAACUGGUUGUUGGGGGAGUGAAAUCCCUUAGUAACGAAGCUAACGCGUGAAGUUGACCGCCUGGGGAGUACGGUCGCAAGAUUAAAACUCAAAGGAAUUGACGGGGACCCGCACAAGCGGUGGAUGAUGUGGAUUAAUUCGAUGCAACGCGAAAAACCUUACCUACCCUUGACAUGUCCAGAAUCCUGCAGAGAUGCGGGAGUGCCCGAAAGGGAAUUGGAACACAGGUGCUGCAUGGCUGUCGUCAGCUCGUGUCGUGAGAUGUUGGGUUAAGUCCCGCAACGAGCGCAACCCUUAUCAUUAGUUGCUACGCAAGGGCACUCUAAUGAGACUGCCGGUGACAAACCGGAGGAAGGUGGGGAUGACGUCAAGUCCUCAUGGCCCUUAUGGGUAGGGCUUCACACGUCAUACAAUGGUCGGUACAGAGGGUUGCCAAGCCGCGAGGUGGAGCCAAUCCCAGAAAGCCGAUCGUAGUCCGGAUUGUUCUCUGCAACUCGAGAGCAUGAAGUCGGAAUCGCUAGUAAUCGCGGAUCAGCAUGUCGCGGUGAAUACGUUCCCGGGUCUUGUACACACCGCCCGUCACACCAUGGGAGUGGAAUCUGCCAGAAGUAGGUAGCCUAACCGCAAGGAGGGCGCUUACCACGGUGGGUUUCAUGACUGGGGUGAAGUCGUAACAAGGUA